RNAcentral lists this ribosomal RNA (520 nucleotides) under uncultured Glomus. RNAcentral's name for it is "SSU rRNA". It matches the Rfam family "Eukaryotic small subunit ribosomal RNA", at positions 569 to 1091 of the family's 1831-position model. Lineage: Eukaryota; Fungi; Glomeromycota; Glomeromycetes; Glomerales; Glomeraceae. The record is from RNAcentral.
AGCAGCCGCGGUAAUUCCAGCUCCAAUAGCGUAUAUUAAAGUUGUUGCAGUUAAAAAGCUCGUAGUUGAAUUUCGGGGUCAGUAGAUUGGUCGUGCCUCUGGUAUGUACUGGUCUUACUGGCUCCUCCUUCCUGAUGAACCGUAAUGCCAUUAAUUUGGUGUUGCGGGGAGACUGGACUGUUACUUUGAAAAAAUUAGAGUGUUUAAAGCAGGCUAACGCUUGAAUACAUUAGCAUGGAAUAAUGAAAUAGGACGUUCGAUCUUAUUUUGUUGGUUUCUAAGAUUGACGUAAUGAUUAAUAGGGAUAGUUGGGGGCAUUAGUAUUCAAUUGUCAGAGGUGAAAUUCUUGGAUUUAUUGAAGACUAACUACUGCGAAAGCAUUUGCCAAGGAUGUUUUCAUUAAUCAAGAACGAAAGUUAGGGGAUCGAAGACGAUCAGAUACCGUCGUAGUCUUAACCAUAAACUAUGCCGACUAGGGAUCGGAUGAUGUUAAUUUUUAAUGACUCAUUCGGCGCCUUAA